Molecule: ribosomal RNA, 220 nt
Filed under: uncultured bacterium
Lineage: Bacteria
Description: partial 16S ribosomal RNA
Rfam family: Bacterial small subunit ribosomal RNA
Source: RNAcentral
GCAAGUCGAGCGCGCCCUUCGGAGGGAGCGGCGGACGGGUGAGUAACGCGUGGGAAUUUACCCUUCACUAUGGAAUCGCCUCGGGAACCUGAGAGUAAUACCAUAUACGCCCUUCGGGGGAAAGAUUUAUCGGUGAAGGAUUAGCCCGCGUUAGAUUAGAUAGUUGGUGGGGUAAUGGCCUACCAAGUCUACGAUCUAUAGCUGGUUUGAGAGGAUGAUC